AUUGAACGCUGGCGGCAUGCUUUACACAUGCAAGUCGAACGGCAGCGCGGGCUUCGGCCUGGCGGCGAGUGGCGAACGGGUGAGUAAUGCAUCGGAACGUGCCCAGCAGUGGGGGAUAGCCCGGCGAAAGCCGGCUUAAUACCGCAUACGACCUGAGGGUGAAAGCGGGGGACCGAAAGGCCUCGCGCUAUUUGCGCGGCCGAUGUCGGAUUAGCUAGUUGGUGGGGUAAAGGCUUACCAAGGCGACGAUCCGUAGCUGGUCUGAGAGGACGACCAGCCACACUGGGACUGAGACACGGCCCAGACUCCUACGGGAGGCAGCAGUGGGGAAUUUUGGACAAUGGGGGCAACCCUGAUCCAGCCAUGCCGCGUGCGGGAAGAAGGCCUUCGGGUUGUAAACCGCUUUUGUUCGGGAAGAAAUCCUCUGGGCUAAUACCCCGGGGGGAUGACGGUACCGGAAGAAUAAGCACCGGCUAACUACGUG
This 484-nucleotide ribosomal RNA is filed under the name uncultured bacterium. RNAcentral's name for it is "partial 16S ribosomal RNA". It matches the Rfam family "Bacterial small subunit ribosomal RNA", at positions 28 to 507 of the family's 1533-position model. The record is from RNAcentral.